CCCUUAGAUGUUCUGGGCCGCACGCGUGCUACACUGAUGCAUUCAACGAGUCUAAAACCUGGUCUGAUAGGGCUGGGUAAUCUUUUGAAAGUGCAUCGUGAUUGGGAUAGAUGAUUGCAAUUCUUCAUCUUCAACGAGGAAUGCCUAGUAAACGCAAGUCAUCAGCUUGCAUUGAUUACGUCCCUGCCCUUUGUACACACCACCCGUCGCUCCUACCGAUUGAAUGAUCCGAUGAAUACCAUGGAUUGAGAGUACGAAUAGGUUCGCUUAUUUCUGCUGCUCGAGAAGUGGAGUAAAUCUUAUCAUUUAGAGGAAGGAGAAGUCGUAACA
Molecule: ribosomal RNA, 330 nt
Filed under: uncultured eukaryote
Lineage: Eukaryota
Description: partial 18S ribosomal RNA
Rfam family: Eukaryotic small subunit ribosomal RNA
Source: RNAcentral